RNAcentral lists this ribosomal RNA (1481 nucleotides) under uncultured prokaryote. RNAcentral describes it as "partial 16S ribosomal RNA". It matches the Rfam family "Bacterial small subunit ribosomal RNA". The record is from RNAcentral.
CGAGGAUGAUCAUGGCUCAGAUUGAACGCUGGCGGUAUGCUUAACACAUGCAAGUCGAACGAUGAUUUUCCAGCUUGCUGGAAAUGAUUAGUGGCGGACGGGUGCGUAACGCGUGGGAAUCUACCUUGUAGUGGGGGAUAGCCCGGAGAAAUCCGGAUUAAUACCGCAUAAUCUCUACGGAGCAAAGUGGGGGAUCUUCGGACCUCACGCUAUUAGAUGAGCCCGCGUUAGAUUAGCUUGUUGGUGAGGUAAUGGCUCACCAAGGCAACGAUCUAUAGCUGGUUUGAGAGGAUGAUCAGCCACACUGGGACUGAGACACGGCCCAGACUCCUACGGGAGGCAGCAGUGGGGAAUAUUGGACAAUGGGCGCAAGCCUGAUCCAGCAAUACCGCGUGUGUGAAGAAGGCCUGAGGGUUGUAAAGCACUUUCAAUAGAGACGAAAAGUUGACGUUACCAAUAGAAUAAGCACCGGCUAACUCUGUGCCAGCAGCCGCGGUAAUACAGAGGGUGCGAGCGUUAAUCGGAAUUACUGGGCGUAAAGCGUGCGCAGGCGGCUUUUUAAGACAGGUGUGAAAUCCCCGGGCUUAACCUGGGAAUGGCGCUUGUGACUGGAAGGCUAGAGUGCGGCAGAGGGGGAUGGAAUUCCUGGUGUAGCAGUGAAAUGCGUAGAUAUCAGGAGGAACACCGAUGGCGAAGGCAGUCCCCUGGGUCGACACUGACGCUCAGGCACGAAAGCGUGGGGAGCAAACAGGAUUAGAUACCCUGGUAGUCCACGCCCUAAACGAUGUCAACUAGUUGUUGGGGAAGGAGACUUCUUUAGUAACGUAGCUAACGCGUGAAGUUGACCGCCUGGGGAGUACGGCCGCAAGGUUAAAACUCAAAGGAAUUGACGGGGACCCGCACAAGCGGUGGAUGAUGUGGAUUAAUUCGAUGCAACGCGAAAAACCUUACCUACCCUUGACAUGCCAGGAACUUGCCAGAGAUGGCUUGGUGCCCGAAAGGGAGCCUGGACACAGGUGCUGCAUGAUGGCUGUCGUCAGCUCGUGUCGUCAGAUGUUGGGUUAAGUCCCGCAACGAGCGCAACCCUUGUCAUUAAUUGCCAUCAUUUAGUUGGGCACUUUAAUGAGACUGCCGGUGAUAAACCGGAGGAAGGUGGGGAUGACGUCAAGUCCUCAUGGCCCUUAUGGGUAGGGCUUCACACGUAAUACAAUGGCGCGUACAGAGGGUUGCCAAGCCGCGAGGUGGAGCUAAUCCCAGAAAGCGCGUCGUAGUCCGGAUUGCACUCUGCAACUCGAGUGCAUGAAGUCGGAAUCGCUAGUAAUCGCGGAUCAGAAUGUCGCGGUGAAUACGUUCCCGGGUCUUGUACACACCGCCCGUCACACCAUGGGAGUGGACUCUGCCAGAAGUAGGUAGCCUAACCGUAAGGAGGGCGCUUACCACGGUGGGUUUCAUGACUGGGGUGAAGUCGUAACAAGGUAACC